GACGAACGCUGGCGGCGUGCCUAAUACAUGCAAGUAGAACGCUGAAGGAGGAGCUUGCUUCUCUGGAUGAGUUGCGAACGGGUGAGUAACGCGUAGGUAACCUGCCUGGUAGCGGGGGAUAACUAUUGGAAACGAUAGCUAAUACCGCAUAAUAGCAGUUAUUGCAUGAUAACUGUUUGAAAGGUGCAAUUGCAUCACUACCAGAUGGACCUGCGUUGUAUUAGCUAGUUGGUGGGGUAACGGCUCACCAAGGCGACGAUACAUAGCCGACCUGAGAGGGUGAUCGGCCACACUGGGACUGAGACACGGCCCAGACUCCUACGGGAGGCAGCAGUAGGGAAUCUUCGGCAAUGGACGGAAGUCUGACCGAGCAACGCCGCGUGAGUGAAGAAGGUUUUCGGAUCGUAAAGCUCUGUUGUAAGAGAAGAACGAGUGUGAGAGUGGAAAGUUCACACUGUGACGGUAUCUUACCAGAAAGGGACGGCUAACUACGUG
This 495-nucleotide ribosomal RNA is filed under the name uncultured bacterium. Its description in RNAcentral is "partial 16S ribosomal RNA". It matches the Rfam family "Bacterial small subunit ribosomal RNA", at positions 28 to 507 of the family's 1533-position model. The record is from RNAcentral.